Molecule: ribosomal RNA, 497 nt
Filed under: uncultured bacterium
Lineage: Bacteria
Description: partial 16S ribosomal RNA
Rfam family: Bacterial small subunit ribosomal RNA
Source: RNAcentral
GAUGAACGCUGGCGGCGUGCCUAAUACAUGCAAGUCGAGCGAACGGACGAGAAGCUUGCUUCUCUGAUGUUAGCGGCGGACGGGUGAGUAACACGUGGAUAACCUACCUAUAAGACUGGGAUAACUUCGGGAAACCGGAGCUAAUACCGGAUAAUAUUUUGAACCGCAUGGUUCAAAAGUGAAAGACGGUCUUGCUGUCACUUAUAGAUGGAUCCGCGCUGCAUUAGCUAGUUGGUAAGGUAACGGCUUACCAAGGCAACGAUGCAUAGCCGACCUGAGAGGGUGAUCGGCCACACUGGAACUGAGACACGGUCCAGACUCCUACGGGAGGCAGCAGUAGGGAAUCUUCCGCAAAGGGCGAAAGCCUGACGGAGCAACGCCGCGUGAGUGAUGAAGGUCUUCGGAUCGUAAAACUCUGUUAUUAGGGAAGAACAUAUGUGUAAGUAUCUGUGCACAUCUUGACGGUACCUAAUCAGAAAGCCACGGCUAACUACGUG